RNAcentral lists this long non-coding RNA (1079 nucleotides) under Phasianus colchicus (ring-necked pheasant). RNAcentral describes it as "lncRNA (ENSPCLG00000017707.1)". Lineage: Eukaryota; Metazoa; Chordata; Aves; Galliformes; Phasianidae. The record is from RNAcentral.
GGGAGAGGAGCGUGGGGCUGGGGAGGGAGAGGAGCGUGGGGCUGGGGAGGGAGAGGAGCGUGGGGCUGGAAGGGAGUUGUGGGGUGGGGUGGAAGAAGCCUUUGGGACCGCAGGGCUGCGUGGCAGGGAAGGAGCUGCGCUGUNNNNNNNNNNNNNNNNNNNNNNNNNNNNNNNNNNNNNNNNGGUCUCGUGCCGUGGGGCGACAGGAGAACCCCCCCCCCAGAUGGGCGCCGCUCCUCCGUGAGCGCAGGGUGCGGACGGUGGUGUUUUGUGCUGACGUCGCCGUGGCUGCGCGUGUGUCUGCGUGUGCAAAAGCCGCCCCGCUGUGCUCCUCCUUGCACGUGGUUGUGAGCGCCCUCCUGGUGCCCGCUGGGCUUCCACACCCCGGGUUGUGCACGGCCCCGCUGUGCUCCGCCGGCCCUCAGCCCCCCUCCUCUCCCCUUGCAGCGCCCAGCAGCGGAGCACGCAGGCCAACAAGAAGCGCGCCGUGCCCAACCAGGUACGGCCCUGGGGGGAGCGGGGACCUGGGUUGGGAGCCCCCCGUGUCGGCCUGGGGGGGCUGGGAUCCACCAGCGCCUUCAUGGGUGGAUUUGGGAUCCUGCAACUCCUUCUUGGAGGUGCUGGGAUCCACCAGCUCCUUCCUGAGGGGAUUUGGGAUCUUCCAACUCCUUCUUGGAGGUGCUGGGAUCCAUCAGCUCUCCUUCGGAGGGGCUGGGAUCCAUCAGCUCUCUCCUGGAGGGGCUGGGAUCCACCAGCGCCUUCAUGGGGGGAUUUGGGAUCCUGCAACUCCUUGGAGGUGCUGGGAUCCAUCAGCUCUCCUUCGGAGGGGCUGGGAUCCAUCAGCUCUCUCUUGGAGGGGCUGGGAUCCAUCAGCACCUUCCUGGGUGGAUUUGGGAUCCUGCAACUCCUUCUUGGAGGGGUUGGGAUCCAUCAGCUCUCUCUUAGAGAGGCUGGGAUCCAUCUGCUCUCCUUUGGAGGUGCUGGGAUCCAUCUGCUCUCCUUUGGAGGUGCUGGGAUCCAUCAGCGCCUUCCUGGGUGGAUUUGGGAUCCUGCAACUUUUUCUUGGAGGUGCUGGGAUC